UUACAAGGUUCAUACAUUUCUAUUCUUGCAUGACAAAUUUCUCCGGAACAUGUACCAGGAGAGGCAGAAACGAUAGAAAUCGUCUCAAACUCUGUCCUGACACAUUAUUAACAUGCCUAUCUAGACAACAUGCUCUGUGAUAUGUCUUUCUUUUAUUUUUUUCAGCAACUCAGUAUACAGAUGGUGACUAAUCAGUGGUAUUUCUCUGUUUGCCUGAUGAGACUAUUCUAACAGGAAUAACAGUUCUUCCAUCCUUGCCCAUAUAUGCAGCUUCCGAAGCAGUAGCAGACCAAAGCAGGUUGUACGCCAACUGCUGUUCACUUAAUCUUCUAUUCUCGGUAGAUGAUGAAUGCUUCUAUAUCCCAAGUGUCUUGGAACCCUCCUUAUCUAAAGGGCUUUUUGA
This 403-nucleotide unclassified non-coding RNA is filed under the name Hevea brasiliensis (rubber tree). Lineage: Eukaryota; Viridiplantae; Streptophyta; Magnoliopsida; Malpighiales; Euphorbiaceae. The record is from RNAcentral.